Molecule: ribosomal RNA, 2936 nt
Filed under: Escherichia coli
Lineage: Bacteria; Pseudomonadati; Pseudomonadota; Gammaproteobacteria; Enterobacterales; Enterobacteriaceae
Description: 23S ribosomal RNA
Rfam family: Bacterial large subunit ribosomal RNA
Source: RNAcentral
GGGUUGUGAGGUUAAGCGACUAAGCGUACACGGUGGAUGCCCUGGCAGUCAGAGGCGAUGAAGGACGUGCUAAUCUGCGAUAAGCGUCGGUAAGGUGAUAUGAACCGUUAUAACCGGCGAUUUCCGAAUGGGGAAACCCAGUGUGUUUCGACACACUAUCAUUAACUGAAUCCAUAGGUUAAUGAGGCGAACCGGGGGAACUGAAACAUCUAAGUACCCCGAGGAAAAGAAAUCAACCGAGAUUCCCCCAGUAGCGGCGAGCGAACGGGGAGGAGCCCAGAGCCUGAAUCAGUGUGUGUGUUAGUGGAAGCGUCUGGAAAGGCGCGCGAUACAGGGUGACAGCCCCGUACACAAAAAUGCACAUACUGUGAGCUCGAUGAGUAGGGCGGGACACGUGGUAUCCUGUCUGAAUAUGGGGGGACCAUCCUCCAAGGCUAAAUACUCCUGACUGACCGAUAGUGAACCAGUACCGUGAGGGAAAGGCGAAAAGAACCCCGGCGAGGGGAGUGAAAAAGAACCUGAAACCGUGUACGUACAAGCAGUGGGAGCCUCUUUUAUGGGGUGACUGCGUACCUUUUGUAUAAUGGGUCAGCGACUUAUAUUCUGUAGCAAGGUUAACCGAAUAGGGGAGCCGAAGGGAAACCGAGUCUUAACUGGGCGUUAAGUUGCAGGGUAUAGACCCGAAACCCGGUGAUCUAGCCAUGGGCAGGUUGAAGGUUGGGUAACACUAACUGGAGGACCGAACCGACUAAUGUUGAAAAAUUAGCGGAUGACUUGUGGCUGGGGGUGAAAGGCCAAUCAAACCGGGAGAUAGCUGGUUCUCCCCGAAAGCUAUUUAGGUAGCGCCUCGUGAAUUCAUCUCCGGGGGUAGAGCACUGUUUCGGCAAGGGGGUCAUCCCGACUUACCAACCCGAUGCAAACUGCGAAUACCGGAGAAUGUUAUCACGGGAGACACACGGCGGGUGCUAACGUCCGUCGUGAAGAGGGAAACAACCCAGACCGCCAGCUAAGGUCCCAAAGUCAUGGUUAAGUGGGAAACGAUGUGGGAAGGCCCAGACAGCCGAGGAUGUUGGCUUAGAAGCAGCCAUCAUUUAAAGAAAGCGUAAUAGCUCACUGGUCGAGUCGGCCUGCGCGGAAGAUGUAACGGGGCUAAACCAUGCACCGAAGCUGCGGCAGCGACGCUUAUGCGUUGUUGGGUAGGGGAGCGUUCUGUAAGCCUGUGAAGGUGUACUGUGAGGUAUGCUGGAGGUAUCAGAAGUGCGAAUGCUGACAUAAGUAACGAUAAAGCGGGUGAAAAGCCCGCUCGCCGGAAGACCAAGGGUUCCUGUCCAACGUUAAUCGGGGCAGGGUGAGUCGACCCCUAAGGCGAGGCCGAAAGGCGUAGUCGAUGGGAAACAGGUUAAUAUUCCUGUACUUGGUGUUACUGCGAAGGGGGGACGGAGAAGGCUAUGUUGGCCGGGCGACGGUUGUCCCGGUUUAAGCGUGUAGGCUGGUUUUCCAGGCAAAUCCGGAAAAUCAAGGCUGAGGCGUGAUGACGAGGCACUACGGUGCUGAAGCAACAAAUGCCCUGCUUCCAGGAAAAGCCUCUAAGCAUCAGGUAACAUCAAAUCGUACCCCAAACCGACACAGGUGGUCAGGUAGAGAAUACCAAGGCGCUUGAGAGAACUCGGGUGAAGGAACUAGGCAAAAUGGUGCCGUAACUUCGGGAGAAGGCACGCUGAUAUGUAGGUGAAGCGACUUGCUCGUGGAGCUGAAAUCAGUCGAAGAUACCAGCUGGCUGCAACUGUUUAUUAAAAACACAGCACUGUGCAAACACGAAAGUGGACGUAUACGGUGUGACGCCUGCCCGGUGCCGGAAGGUUAAUUGAUGGGGUUAGCGGUAACGCGAAGCUCUUGAUCGAAGCCCCGGUAAACGGCGGCCGUAACUAUAACGGUCCUAAGGUAGCGAAAUUCCUUGUCGGGUAAGUUCCGACCUGCACGAAUGGCGUAAUGAUGGCCAGGCUGUCUCCACCCGAGACUCAGUGAAAUUGAACUCGCUGUGAAGAUGCAGUGUACCCGCGGCAAGACGGAAAGACCCCGUGAACCUUUACUAUAGCUUGACACUGAACAUUGAGCCUUGAUGUGUAGGAUAGGUGGGAGGCUUUGAAGUGUGGACGCCAGUCUGCAUGGAGCCGACCUUGAAAUACCACCCUUUAAUGUUUGAUGUUCUAACGUUGGCCCCUGAUCGGGGUUGCGGACAGUGUCUGGUGGGUAGUUUGACUGGGGCGGUCUCCUCCUAAAGAGUAACGGAGGAGCACGAAGGUUGGCUAAUCCCUGGUCGGACAUCAGGAGGUUAGUGCAAUGGCAUAAGCCAGCUUGACUGCGAGCGUGACGGCGCGAGCAGGUGCGAAAGCAGGUCAUAGUGAUCCGGUGGUUCUGAAUGGAAGGGCCAUCGCUCAACGGAUAAAAGGUACUCCGGGGAUAACAGGCUGAUACCGCCCAAGAGUUCAUAUCGACGGCGGUGUUUGGCACCUCGAUGUCGGCUCAUCACAUCCACGGGGCUGAAGUAGGUCCCAAGGGUAUGGCUGUUCGCCAUUUAAAGUGGUACGCGAGCUGGGUUUAGAACGUCGUGAGACAGUUCGGUCCCUAUCUGCCGUGGGCGCUGGAGAACUGAGGGGGGCUGCUCCUAGUACGAGAGGACCGGAGUGGACGCAUCACUGGUGUUCGGGUUGUCAUGCCAAUGGCACUGCCCGGUAGCUAAAUGCGGAAGAGAUAAGUGCUGAAAGCAUCUAAGCACGAAACUUGCCCCGAGAUGAGUUCUCCCUGAGACUUUAAGUCUCCUGAAGGAACGUUGAAGACGACGACGUUGAUAGGCCGGGUGUGUAAGCGCAGCGAUGCGUUGAGCUAACCGGUACUAAUGAACCGUGAGGCUUAACCUUACAACGCCGAAGGUGUUU